GUUAUUAUAUAUACAUAAACAAUAUAAGAACAUAUUAUAAUAAAGGAUAGAAAGAUAUUAUAAUUUUUCGCGGCCCUAUAUAAGCCACUAGGACGGUUUGUUUCGGUUUUUGUAUCAAUCCCACUACGACGGCGACAACGAUGACGACAGUAGAUGCGCUAUGGACGCAGUUGACGACGAUCAAAGUUGCAAAUGAAAGUUAUUCUUUUGAGUCCACCGCAGGCGGAUAGACGGUAGAUGAAAAGGGAAUGCGAAAAAAAAAAUAGAUGCAAGGGGUUGGGUCGAACCGAGUGACAAGAUUGGGCGGAGAGAAUGGUUCAAAGCUCCACCGUUUUAUGGAUUUUCACUCGGUAUCGACCCAGACGCGAAUGUCGGUGCUGGCGACCGCCGCCGCCGCCGCAGCCAUGGGGGAGAUAAAAGAACUCGCAUGUUCAUGUAACAUUCUUGGAACCGUUUUCGCCGCUAUGAAUUGUGUAUAACUUUCUCUCCCUCUCUCAUAAGCAUACACACACACACACACACACACAAAAACAUAGCUUCUUCUUUUUCUCGUUAUUGUAAGCCUGUUUUGGACAGGAAGUUGUUACAAAAUAUUUUUUAUGAAUCAUUUUCGAAACACAUUCAUAGAAGAUGUGAGUAAACUUCAAGAAACUAUUAGA
Molecule: long non-coding RNA, 659 nt
Organism: Sipha flava (yellow sugarcane aphid)
Lineage: Eukaryota; Metazoa; Arthropoda; Insecta; Hemiptera; Aphididae
Exons: 3
Source: RefSeq, a predicted model, not a curated record